RNAcentral lists this ribosomal RNA (254 nucleotides) under uncultured bacterium. RNAcentral's name for it is "partial 16S ribosomal RNA". It matches the Rfam family "Bacterial small subunit ribosomal RNA", at positions 524 to 776 of the family's 1533-position model. The record is from RNAcentral.
UACGGGGGGAGCAAGCGUUGUUCGGAUUUACUGGGCGUAAAGGGCGCGUAGGCGGCCACCGCAAGUCGGUUGUGAAAUCUCCGGGCUUAACCCGGAAAGGUCAAUCGAUACUGCGGGGCUAGAGUGCAGAAGGGGCAACUGGAAUUCUCGGUGUAGCGGUGAAAUGCGUAGAUAUCAGGAGGAACACCGGUGGCGAAGGCGGGUCUCUGGGCAACAACUGACGCUGAGGAGCGAAAGCGUGGGGAGCGAACAGG